Molecule: small nuclear RNA, 292 nt
Filed under: Octodon degus (degu)
Lineage: Eukaryota; Metazoa; Chordata; Mammalia; Rodentia; Octodontidae
Description: 7SK RNA (ENSODEG00000023645.1)
Rfam family: 7SK RNA
About the family: 7SK was discovered as an abundant small nuclear RNA in the mid-70s but a possible function has only recently been suggested. Two independent studies have found that 7SK RNA binds the CDK9/cyclin T complex (known as elongation factor P-TEFb).
Source: RNAcentral
UGAGAGUGUGAUCUGGCUGGGACAUCUCUCAGCCCACUCAUUGCCAGGGUGGGUUUGGGUGACCUAGCUGGCGAAGCGGUGUCCUUUUCCUCCUUCGGUGCUCCAAGUGUGUCCUUCCCAAAGCUGCGUGCUUAGUUGACGAGGACGACCGCCCCAUGGAGUGGGACAGCUCCUUGGCCAAGAGUAUAGGAGUAGCUGUGCUCCCCUCCUAGGAUCUCCAAAUGAGCUCUCAAGGAAGGGGUGUUGUAAUGUUCCCCCCAGAACUCUUUAACGCUUAAGUCUGUGACUUUCU